Molecule: long non-coding RNA, 439 nt
Filed under: Fukomys damarensis (Damara mole-rat)
Lineage: Eukaryota; Metazoa; Chordata; Mammalia; Rodentia; Bathyergidae
Description: lncRNA (ENSFDAG00000023798.1)
Source: RNAcentral
GGGAAGUUGAUUCUAAGGCAAUGGCACAGAGGGGAGAAUACUGGCGAUGGUUCCAGAAUGUGUUAAGAUCAAGCCUGAAACAAUGCAUGAAUGAGGAGAAGAGCCAAACGUCACAACAUAGAGUGGUUGUAGCUGUCAACGAUGGAGCAGAGAAGAAAAUGAAUUCUACGGACUUCUGUGAAAGCAUUGCCUUACCGGUGAACGCCUCGUCACAGACAGACUGACACGUCGCCAGCUGCCGCAGCCUCUGAGAGCUGAGGCCCCGUGGAUAAACCGUUCCUAGAUCCCAUCACUGUGUCACUGGAAGUCCUACUGGAAAAGCACGAACCAGUCCGUGUCAAUGCCAAGUUAAGGUGAGAGGAAUCAUUUAUCGUCUCGCCUGAAGGAGAGCUUCCCCGAAGGGGUGGCUGCGGCAGAGGACUGGCUGCCCAAAAGGAAC